UCGGGGGAAACAAACUGUCCGCCCACUCUACAAGCGCGGCUGAUUGACGCCUAUGAGCAGACGCUUCAUACCGUCAGAUGUAUACACGUGUUCCACAUCCCACGGUUCAUACCACCUAUAAAUACCCAAAGAUUGGCUAGAGGCAAAGGUAAUGAAACUCUCAAUAGAUAGCACUCCAUAACAAGUUUAUAUAUUCUCCUCCCCCUUUAUUGACUGAUUGAUUUGUGUAGUCCCUGGACACUGUUCCGACCACCCAAACCUGACUUGACCGUCGGAGUGUAUACGGCC
Molecule: long non-coding RNA, 288 nt
Filed under: Olea europaea (common olive)
Lineage: Eukaryota; Viridiplantae; Streptophyta; Magnoliopsida; Lamiales; Oleaceae
Description: long non-coding RNA (OEUR_LNC006425)
Source: RNAcentral